UACGAAGGGUGCAAGCGUUACUCGGAAUUACUGGGCGUAAAGCGUGCGCAGGCGGUUCGUUAUGUCCGAUGUGAAAGCCCCGAGCUUAACUGGGGAGGGUCAUUCGAUACUGCUGAACUUGAAGGCAGGAGAGGGAAGUGGAAUUCCCGGUGUAGUGGUGAAAUGCGUAGAUAUCGGGAGGAACACCAGUGGCGAAGGCGACUUCCUGGCCUGUUCUUGACGCUGAGGCGCGAAAGCUGGGGGAGCAAACGGG
Molecule: ribosomal RNA, 253 nt
Filed under: uncultured bacterium
Lineage: Bacteria
Description: partial 16S ribosomal RNA
Rfam family: Bacterial small subunit ribosomal RNA
Source: RNAcentral